GUGUUGUAUGAAAGGAGAGAAGGUUAGCACUCCCCUUGACAAGGAUGGAAGAGUCAUUCAGGCCUGACAGCACCCAUUCGGUUAAGGCAUUACCAUCUGCUUCACAGCAUCUGACCGGCGUUUUUU
Molecule: small nuclear RNA, 126 nt
Organism: Prolemur simus (greater bamboo lemur)
Lineage: Eukaryota; Metazoa; Chordata; Mammalia; Primates; Lemuridae
Source: Ensembl